Molecule: long non-coding RNA, 1103 nt
Organism: Numida meleagris (helmeted guineafowl)
Lineage: Eukaryota; Metazoa; Chordata; Aves; Galliformes; Numididae
Exons: 2
Source: RefSeq, a predicted model, not a curated record
UAUAAACACGCCUCCCCCCUCCCAACACCUCCCUUUCCUACUCCGUUGUAGCAGUUUAACAUCUGAAUCUCUAGGCUGGAACACGCAACCUUUCACCGAAGCACGAAGGGAGGGAGGCGGGGGGGAGAAGGCAAGUCUCAAAAACCUGCGGUCGAGGCGGAGGGACAGGCUUUGCCCGAGCAUCCGCGACAAGCGGCCAGCACCACCACCACAACAACAAAACACCCAAAAGCCCGGUGCGGGCGGAGCACACUCAGUCCGGUGCCGCUCUGUGGCCCCUUUGUUCCCUGCGGGGGGACAGGCGAAGCGGGAGCCCCCAGCCCGCUGCCCACACGCCGCGGGACGGGCCCCUUCCCGGCGGGUCUGCUCGGCAGGGCCCGACCCUCUUCUCCUCUCGGCGGAGCGGGGAUAUGAUAAAAGGAGACAGGGCUCUGAAAGGAUUUGAUUGAGAUGGCGUGUGCCAAGCUGAUGGGAGCCAGCGAGGGACAAAGCGCCGAGGAGCCAUGGACACUCGAGCAAUUAUUCCUCCACGCUGAAGGUGGAUUAGCGCAAUGGAAAGAAGCAUAUGUUCGGCCUGGGGCGACACUCCCCCUGGCUGGGUUUAGAGAAUGAGAGCGGAGAAAGAGGCUGAACCUGGAAUAUCAACUAUCCCGGAGACAGCCCACCCGCCCCCCCGUUCCCAGCCUCUCCAAAAGUCCCGGGGAUGGAUGGUGAGAUAAAUACGCACGGCCCCAGAGAUCAACGGGCACCCACACGUACCCGCCUGCAGAGAGGUGCAUGCACCUCUCUGCACAGCUACUUGCAUCCCCUGUCAUGGGUACACAGAGACAGAAAUGUGGGAAACCCCCCAAGGUGUGACAAAGGGAGCACAAAGCCCAUCUAUAAGGGGUCUUACAGCACCCACACUGCUGGAGGCUCAUUCCCAGCCCCUUCCCUGGAACCUUUCUGAAGCUGGCUGUGGUGAGGGAUGGGGUCACUCCAGUCACCUUGCACCAGGCCCAGGCUGGAAGAUCCAUGGCAAACCCCUCAGCUCCCAUUUUCCUCCUGCUCCUGCAGUGCGUCCUGAGGGCACCCAGCAGGGUGAGCAGGACAUGAUGUGGGCU